UACGUAGGCAGCAAGCGUUGUUCGGAGUUACUGGGCGUAAAGAGUGCGUAGGCGGUUUUUUAAGUUUGGUGUGAAAUCUCCCGGCUUAACUGGGAGGGUGCGCCGAAAACUGGAAGGCUCGAGGAUGGGAGAGGCAUGCGGAAUUCCUGGUGUAGCGGUGAAAUGCGUAGAUAUCAGGAGGAACACCUGCGGUGUAGACAGCAUGCUGGACCAUUUCUGACGCUGAGGCACUGAAAGCGUGGGUAGCAAACAGG
This 254-nucleotide ribosomal RNA is filed under the name uncultured bacterium. RNAcentral's name for it is "partial 16S ribosomal RNA". It matches the Rfam family "Bacterial small subunit ribosomal RNA", at positions 524 to 776 of the family's 1533-position model. The record is from RNAcentral.